This is a long non-coding RNA of Ruditapes philippinarum (Manila clam), 557 nucleotides long. RefSeq lists it as uncharacterized. The transcript is spliced from 2 exons. Lineage: Eukaryota; Metazoa; Mollusca; Bivalvia; Venerida; Veneridae. The record is from RefSeq and is a predicted model, not a curated record.
GUACAAUAUUCAAAAUACAUGUUAUUGAGAGGCUUUAUGUACAAUAUCCAUGUUACAGGUUAUUGAGAGGCUGUAUAUUCAAUUUUCAUAAAAACAAGUUAUUGAGAGGCUUAGUGUACAACAUGCAUGUUACAGAUUAUUGAGAGGCUUUAUUACAAUAUCUAUAGUACAGGUUAUUGAAAGGAUUAAUGUACAUAUUAAAAGGUUAUUGAGAGGCUUAAUGUACAAUAUCCAUACAGAGGCUUAAAUUAAUGUACAAUGUUCAUAUUACAGAUAGUUGAGAGGCUUGCUUAAUGUACAAUAUUCAUUAUACUGGUUAUUGAGAGGUUUCAUAUGUUUUUGAGUACUUUUUUGUAUUAUAAUUUAUUUUGUAUAACUGAUUAUGUUUUACCAAAGAUUGAUGUGUAAUGGCCAAUGUUGCAGCAUUAUUGAAAUCCAAAGGUGUUUCUAUCAAGUAUUGAAUUUACAUGAUUUGAGGUUGUCUUUUGUGAUAAAAUUUCAUUUUGUUAUAUUUUAUUCUUUUUUAUACCAGAUAAUAAAAAGUUUUAAAAAUAGAA